ACUGUGCUAUUGCACAAAGUUGCUGCAAACGUUUCUAAUGGCUAGCAGUCAAUGUCAGUGUCAAACACUCCCCUGAGUGACACUUGCCUCCCAGCAGGCUCAGGGUAGCAGUGGAGUGUGAAUCAGCCUUUGGAGCCAUACCUGACAGAUCAAGAGCAAACAAAGUCCAUGGUGGCGGGACAGUCAAGGUGACAGGACUUUGAAGCGACUGUCGCAUCACAUCCACAGUUAGAAGCAGAGGGUGAUGACACUCCACUCCCUUUCUGCACUUGUGUGGUCCAGGAUCCCACCCAGGGAAUGGUGCUACCCACAGUGGGCAUGCCCAUCAGUGCAUCUAACCAGCCAAUGGAAUCUGCUCUUCAUUACAAGCUAAAUGCGAUUCUCCUAUGGUAACCGAGUGCCACCACACCCAGGCCCACCUUCCCCUCCCAUCUCUGCCUUGGGUGUGCUGACCUUGGAUUUGUAUAUUCAUAGCCUUCACCACUCACUCUGGAAAAUGUAAGGUUGGGAACUUUAUGCCGAUGUGCUUUCAGGUUUGAUAUACUCUCCCCCCAGCCCAUCCCGAUCUGUUGAUCAGCCCCAACUUCAAGGAAGGGGGACAUGCUUGGGCACAUGGUGUAGUCAUAAGGUUUUAAUCAGCAAGGGAGGGUGAGGUGAGGAGCUGAACCAGGGUGUGUCCUGGCACCAGCCUCUCUACUUCCACCCUUCUUAUGUAUGGAAAAGAAUUUUCAGGUUUGUUCCAGCCCCCACCCCACCCCCCAUCACUUGCUCCCAUUCCCCUGCCUAAUGGCUGCUCACUACCUUUUCAGACAAAUGUCAGCACUGGAGCCUCAGACUCCUGGUCUCGCACGACAGUUCCAACUCUCCUCUGCUGUUCACUCCCUUGCUUCCCUCUGUCCCGGACAGCAUCUCAUACCCUGUGUGCUCCGCACCACUACGGUGCUCUUUCUUUAUCGUCCUAGCCUCUCUCGAUGGCUGCUCAUCCAUCCAAGGCCGACCUGAAUCGUCCACAAUCCACUUUGGUCCCCCUCAGUGUAGGUCCUGAUGUUGGCAUGGGCUGGGAAGGUAGAGCUUGGCUACAGAGAGCGUACCCGCCAUACCAGUCUGCCUUCGCAAUGUUUCUGAGGCAGAGCGCCAUUGCGGGGGCUGGAGGCGGCAUCGUGGGAGGGCAGAAAACCUCUCUCCUAUUUUCCUCCUUUCCUUUUGUUCUUCCCAAACGGAAACUCUCCAGCGUGCUUGGCACUGAUGCUAAUGGGAGGGUGCCAUCAGCAUACAUUACCGUUUUAUUAGUCUGUUUCUCCAUUUUGAUUCUGAAAAUAUCCUGAUUUAGUCUAAUUGCAAUUUCACUGUGUUCCAUGGGCAGGGACGGUUCGUCCUGGUGGUGGGGUGGG
This is a long non-coding RNA of Mus musculus (house mouse), 1391 nucleotides long. RefSeq annotates it as predicted gene, 34616. NCBI's taxonomy places the organism in Eukaryota, Metazoa, Chordata, Mammalia, Rodentia, Muridae. The transcript is spliced from 4 exons. The record is from RefSeq and is a predicted model, not a curated record.